UACGGAGGGUGCAAGCGUUGUCCGGAUUUAUUGGGUUCAAAGGGUGCGUAGGCGGCUUUUUAAGUCAGCGGUGAAAUACUUCGGCUCAACCGAGGAACUGCCGUUGAUACUGGAAGGCUUGAGUACUGAUGAAGUGGGCGGAAUUGAAGGUGUAGCGGUGAAAUGCAUAGAUAUCUUCAAGAACACCGAUUGCGAAGGCAGCUCACUAAGGAGUAACUGACGCUGAGGCACGAAAGCGUGGGUAGCAAACAGG
Molecule: ribosomal RNA, 253 nt
Filed under: uncultured bacterium
Lineage: Bacteria
Description: partial 16S ribosomal RNA
Rfam family: Bacterial small subunit ribosomal RNA
Source: RNAcentral